RNAcentral lists this ribosomal RNA (231 nucleotides) under uncultured bacterium. Its description in RNAcentral is "partial 16S ribosomal RNA". It matches the Rfam family "Bacterial small subunit ribosomal RNA", at positions 524 to 746 of the family's 1533-position model. The record is from RNAcentral.
UACGUAGGGUGCAAGCGUUGUCCGGAAUUAUUGGGCGUAAAGAGCUCGUAGGCGGUCUGUCGCGUCUGCUGUGAAAACUCAGGGCUUAACCCUGAGCUUGCAGUGGGUACGGGCAGACUAGAGUGCGGUAGGGGGAGACUGGAAUUCCUGGUGUAGCGGUGAAAAUGCGCAGAUAUCAGGAGGGAAACACCGGUGGGCGAAAGGCGGGGUCUCUGGGGCCGUAACUGACGC